AUCCACCUGACCAGUCCCAAAUAGAACGAAUACGCGUCUUGGAU
This 44-nucleotide non-coding RNA is filed under the name Schistosoma mansoni. Lineage: Eukaryota; Metazoa; Platyhelminthes; Trematoda; Strigeidida; Schistosomatidae. The record is from RNAcentral.